UUGAGCUUCAGCUGGCUGCACGUGAGGACUCAGAGUAGGUACACAAUAGCGGUCAUUUAGUGAAGACCUGAGGCAAAUCAGUGACCAGACUUAGAAGGCGAAAGGAACGAUAGUUGGGUAGCCAAACAUUUCCACAAAAGGAUUGCUGAGAAGAUUAAACGAGUGGGCCCUCAAUUCAGUGACUGGCAU
Molecule: long non-coding RNA, 189 nt
Organism: Diceros bicornis minor
Lineage: Eukaryota; Metazoa; Chordata; Mammalia; Perissodactyla; Rhinocerotidae
Exons: 3
Source: RefSeq, a predicted model, not a curated record